GUGGUUUCUAAACGCGUGACUACUGAA
RNAcentral lists this non-coding RNA (27 nucleotides) under Rattus norvegicus (Norway rat). Lineage: Eukaryota; Metazoa; Chordata; Mammalia; Rodentia; Muridae. The record is from RNAcentral.